This 502-nucleotide ribosomal RNA is filed under the name uncultured bacterium. RNAcentral's name for it is "bacterial SSU rRNA". It matches the Rfam family "Bacterial small subunit ribosomal RNA", at positions 11 to 507 of the family's 1533-position model. The record is from RNAcentral.
GUUUGAUCCUGGCUCAGGAUGAACGCUAGCGGCAGGCUUAACACAUGCAAAUCGAGGGGCAGCGCGAUGUAGCAAUACAUUGGCGGCGACCGGCGCACGGGUGCGUAACACGUAUGGAACUUACCCUUUACUGGGAGAUAGCCCGGAGAAAUCCGGAUUAAUAUCCCAUAAUAAACGAAGUGGCAUCACUUUGUUUUGAAAGCUCCGGCGGUAAAGGAUGGCCAUGCGCACGAUUAGCUAGUAGGUGAGGUAACGGCUCACCUAGGCUACGAUCGUUAGGGGGCCUGAGAGGGUUAUCCCCCACACUGGUACUGAGACACGGACCAGACUCCUACGGGAGGCAGCAGUGAGGAAUAUUGCGCAAUGGAGGCAACUCUGACGCAGCCAUGCCGCGUGCAGGAAGAAGGCGCUACGCGUUGUAAACUGCUUUUAACCGGGAAGAAACCCUCCGACGUGUCGGAGGUUGACGGUACCGGAGGAAUAAGCACCGGCUAACUUCGUG